This 2896-nucleotide ribosomal RNA is filed under the name Escherichia coli. RNAcentral describes it as "bacterial LSU rRNA". It matches the Rfam family "Bacterial large subunit ribosomal RNA". The record is from RNAcentral. Lineage: Bacteria; Pseudomonadati; Pseudomonadota; Gammaproteobacteria; Enterobacterales; Enterobacteriaceae.
UUAAGCGACUAAGCGUACACGGUGGAUGCCCUGGCAGUCAGAGGCGAUGAAGGACGUGCUAAUCUGCGAUAAGCGUCGGUGAGGUGAUAUGAACCGUUAUAACCGGCGAUUUCCGAAUGGGGAAACCCAGUGUGUUUCGACACACUAUCAUUAACUGAAUCCAUAGGUUAAUGAGGCGAACCGGGGGAACUGAAACAUCUAAGUACCCCGAGGAAAAGAAAUCAACCGAGAUUCCCCCAGUAGCGGCGAGCGAACGGGGAGGAGCCCAGAGCCUGAAUCAGUGUGUGUGUUAGUGGAAGCGUCUGGAAAGGCGCGCGAUACAGGGUGACAGCCCCGUACACAAAAAUGCACAUAUUGUGAGCUCGAUGAGUAGGGCGGGACACGUGGUAUCCUGUCUGAAUAUGGGGGGACCAUCCUCCAAGGCUAAAUACUCCUGACUGACCGAUAGUGAACCAGUACCGUGAGGGAAAGGCGAAAAGAACCCCGGCGAGGGGAGUGAAAAAGAACCUGAAACCGUGUACGUACAAGCAGUGGGAGCCUCUUUAUGGGGUGACUGCGUACCUUUUGUAUAAUGGGUCAGCGACUUAUAUUCUGUAGCAAGGUUAACCGAAUAGGGGAGCCGAAGGGAAACCGAGUCUUAACUGGGCGUUAAGUUGCAGGGUAUAGACCCGAAACCCGGUGAUCUAGCCAUGGGCAGGUUGAAGGUUGGGUAACACUAACUGGAGGACCGAACCGACUAAUGUUGAAAAAUUAGCGGAUGACUUGUGGCUGGGGGUGAAAGGCCAAUCAAACCGGGAGAUAGCUGGUUCUCCCCGAAAGCUAUUUAGGUAGCGCCUCGUGAAUUCAUCUCCGGGGGUAGAGCACUGUUUCGGCAAGGGGGUCAUCCCGACUUACCAACCCGAUGCAAACUGCGAAUACCGGAGAAUGUUAUCACGGGAGACACACGGCGGGUGCUAACGUCCGUCGUGAAGAGGGAAACAACCCAGACCGCCAGCUAAGGUCCCAAAGUCAUGGUUAAGUGGGAAACGAUGUGGGAAGGCCCAGACAGCCAGGAUGUUGGCUUAGAAGCAGCCAUCAUUUAAAGAAAGCGUAAUAGCUCACUGGUCGAGUCGGCCUGCGCGGAAGAUGUAACGGGGCUAAACCAUGCACCGAAGCUGCGGCAGCGACACUAUGUGUUGUUGGGUAGGGGAGCGUUCUGUAAGCCUGUGAAGGUGGCCUGUGAGGGUUGCUGGAGGUAUCAGAAGUGCGAAUGCUGACAUAAGUAACGAUAAAGCGGGUGAAAAGCCCGCUCGCCGGAAGACCAAGGGUUCCUGUCCAACGUUAAUCGGGGCAGGGUGAGUCGACCCCUAAGGCGAGGCCGAAAGGCGUAGUCGAUGGGAAACAGGUUAAUAUUCCUGUACUUGGUGUUACUGCGAAGGGGGGACGGAGAAGGCUAUGUUGGCCGGGCGACGGUUGUCCCGGUUUAAGCGUGUAGGCUGGUUUUCCAGGCAAAUCCGGAAAACCAAGGCUGAGGCGUGAUGACGAGGCACUACGGUGCUGAAGCGACAAAUGCCCUGCUUCCAGGAAAAGCCUCUAAGCAUCAGGUAACAUCAAAUCGUACCCCAAACCGACACAGGUGGUCAGGUAGAGAAUACCAAGGCGCUUGAGAGAACUCGGGUGAAGGAACUAGGCAAAAUGGUGCCGUAACUUCGGGAGAAGGCACGCUGAUAUGUAGGUGAAGCGACUUGCUCGUGGAGCUGAAAUCAGUCGAAGAUACCAGCUGGCUGCAACUGUUUAUUAAAAACACAGCACUGUGCAAACACGAAAGUGGACGUAUACGGUGUGACGCCUGCCCGGUGCCGGAAGGUUAAUUGAUGGGGUUAGCGGUAACGCGAAGCUCUUGAUCGAAGCCCCGGUAAACGGCGGCCGUAACUAUAACGGUCCUAAGGUAGCGAAAUUCCUUGUCGGGUAAGUUCCGACCUGCACGAAUGGCGUAAUGAUGGCCAGGCUGUCUCCACCCGAGACUCAGUGAAAUUGAACUCGCUGUGAAGAUGCAGUGUACCCGCGGCAAGACGGAAAGACCCCGUGAACCUUUACUAUAGCUUGACACUGAACAUUGAGCCUUGAUGUGUAGGAUAGGUGGGAGGCUUUGAAGUGUGGACGCCAGUCUGCAUGGAGCCGACCUUGAAAUACCACCCUUUAAUGUUUGAUGUUCUAACGUUGGCCCGUAAUCCGGGUUGCGGACAGUGUCUGGUGGGUAGUUUGACUGGGGCGGUCUCCUCCUAAAGAGUAACGGAGGAGCACGAAGGUUGGCUAAUCCUGGUCGGACAUCAGGAGGUUAGUGCAAUGGCAUAAGCCAGCUUGACUGCGAGCGUGACGGCGCGAGCAGGUGCGAAAGCAGGUCAUAGUGAUCCGGUGGUUCUGAAUGGAAGGGCCAUCGCUCAACGGAUAAAAGGUACUCCGGGGAUAACAGGCUGAUACCGCCCAAGAGUUCAUAUCGACGGCGGUGUUUGGCACCUCGAUGUCGGCUCAUCACAUCCUGGGGCUGAAGUAGGUCCCAAGGGUAUGGCUGUUCGCCAUUUAAAGUGGUACGCGAGCUGGGUUUAGAACGUCGUGAGACAGUUCGGUCCCUAUCUGCCGUGGGCGCUGGAGAACUGAGGGGGGCUGCUCCUAGUACGAGAGGACCGGAGUGGACGCAUCACUGGUGUUCGGGUUGUCAUGCCAAUGGCACUGCCCGGUAGCUAAAUGCGGAAGAGAUAAGUGCUGAAAGCAUCUAAGCACGAAACUUGCCCCGAGAUGAGUUCUCCCUGAGACUUAGAGUCUCCUGAAGGAACGUUGAAGACGACGACGUUGAUAGGCCGGGUGUGUAAGCGCAGCGAUGCGUUGAGCUAACCGGUACUAAUGAACCGUGAGGCUU